Molecule: long non-coding RNA, 511 nt
Organism: Dreissena polymorpha
Lineage: Eukaryota; Metazoa; Mollusca; Bivalvia; Myida; Dreissenidae
Exons: 3
Source: RefSeq, a predicted model, not a curated record
UGUACGGGCACUUGCCAUGACUUUAUUUUUGAAUAUUUCUGUGUUCAUGUGGUAGGGAAAACAUUGUUGUAUACUACAAAUUCCCUGUUUUGCUUUUAGGUUGGAGACUACAUAAGACUUUGACAGUUGGCGGGAAACCAUCAUCAACUGGAGAGAUGCCGGUAGAGGAAUGUCUGCGACUAAGUCAAGGGCCACUGGAUAAGGGUUGUUGAUGGCAAAACAGGUUGGAGACUACAUAAGACUUUGACAGUUGGCGGGAAACCAUCAUCAACUGGAGAGAUGCCGGUAAAAAGAUGGCCAUAAAACAGUGACCGCUGAUUCGCAUUGAGUUCUUUCUUACAUAUUGGAUGACCUAUGUUUUUUAUUGCUUAAAUCAUUGCGGCUUGGAAUGCUCUUUAAGAAAAGGUAUGGUUAUGGGGGUGUCUACGCGCAAAAGUUUGACUUUAUUUUUUGUUAAAGUUAUUGCUUUUACAUUGAAUUUGUGCAGGAAAUCUUUUGGUAUGUUGUGACC